RNAcentral lists this ribosomal RNA (301 nucleotides) under uncultured bacterium. RNAcentral describes it as "partial 16S ribosomal RNA". It matches the Rfam family "Bacterial small subunit ribosomal RNA", at positions 509 to 807 of the family's 1533-position model. The record is from RNAcentral.
CAGUAGCCGCGGUAAUACAGAGGGUGCAAGCGUUAAUCGGAAUUACUGGGCGUAAAGCGCGCGUAGGUGGUUUGUUAAGUUGGAUGUGAAAUCCCCGGGCUCAACCUGGGAACUGCAUCCAAAACUGGCAAGCUAGAGUAUGGUAGAGGGUGGUGGAAUUUCCUGUGUAGCGGUGAAAUGCGUAGAUAUAGGAAGGAACACCAGUGGCGAAGGCGACCACCUGGACUGAUACUGACACUGAGGUGCGAAAGCGUGGGGAGCAAACAGGAUUAGAUACCCGUGUAGUCCCUGUCUCUUAUAC